Molecule: ribosomal RNA, 264 nt
Filed under: uncultured bacterium
Lineage: Bacteria
Description: partial 16S ribosomal RNA
Rfam family: Bacterial small subunit ribosomal RNA
Source: RNAcentral
GUCCACGCCGUAAACUAUGGAUACUAGCUGUUGGAGGUAUCGACCCCUUCAGUAGCGAAGCUAACGCGUUAAGUAUCCCGCCUGUGGAGUACGGUCGCAAGACUAAAACAUAAAGGAAUUGACGGGGACCCGCACAAGCGGUGGAUUGUGUUCUUUAAUUCGAUGAUAAACGAUAAACCUUACCAGGGUUUGAAAUCCCAAGAAUUUUGCCGAAAGGUGAGAGUGCUUUAUUGAACUUGGUGACAGGUGAUGCAUGGCCGUCGU